GACGAACGCUGGCAGCGUGCUUAACACAUGCAAGUCGAACGGAAAGGCCCGGCUUUUGUGGGGUGCUCGAGUGGCGAACGGGUGAGUAACACGUGAGUAACCUGCCCUUGACUUUGGGAUAACUUCAGGAAACUGGGGCUAAUACCGGAUAGGAGCUCCUGCUGCAUGGUGGGGGUUGGAAAGUUUCGGCGGUUGGGGAUGGACUCGCGGCUUAUCAGCUUGUUGGUGGGGUAGUGGCUUACCAAGGCUUUGACGGGUAGCCGGCCUGAGAGGGUGACCGGCCACAUUGGUACUGAGAUACGGCCCAGACUGCUACGGGGGGCAGCAGUGGGGAAUAUUGCACAAUGGGCGGAAGCCUGAUGCGGCAACGCCGCGUGCGGGAUGACGGCCUUCUGGUUGUAAACCGCUUUCGCCUGUGACGAAGCGUGAGUGACGGUAAUGGGUAAAGAAGCACCGGCUAACUACGUG
This 468-nucleotide ribosomal RNA is filed under the name uncultured bacterium. RNAcentral describes it as "partial 16S ribosomal RNA". It matches the Rfam family "Bacterial small subunit ribosomal RNA", at positions 28 to 507 of the family's 1533-position model. The record is from RNAcentral.